RNAcentral lists this ribosomal RNA (253 nucleotides) under uncultured bacterium. RNAcentral's name for it is "partial 16S ribosomal RNA". It matches the Rfam family "Bacterial small subunit ribosomal RNA", at positions 524 to 776 of the family's 1533-position model. The record is from RNAcentral.
GACGUAGGGCGCGAGCGUUGUCCGGAUUUAUUGGGCGUAAAGAGCUCGUAGGCGGCUUGUUGCGUCGACCGUGAAAACUUGGGGCUUAACCUCAGGCUUGCGGUUGAUACGGGCAGGCUAGAGUUCGGUAGGGGAGACUGGAAUUCCUGGUGUAGCGGUGAAAUGCGCAGAUAUCAGGAGGAACACCGGUGGCGAAGGCGGGUCUCUGGGCCGAUACUGACGCUGAGGAGCGAAAGCGUGGGGAGCGAACAGG